This 491-nucleotide ribosomal RNA is filed under the name uncultured bacterium. Its description in RNAcentral is "partial 16S ribosomal RNA". It matches the Rfam family "Bacterial small subunit ribosomal RNA", at positions 29 to 506 of the family's 1533-position model. The record is from RNAcentral.
AGUGAACGCUGGCGGUAGGCCUAACACAUGCAAGUCGAACGGCAGCACAGUAAGAGCUUGCUCUUACGGGUGGCGAGUGGCGGACGGGUGAGGAAUACAUCGGAAUCUACUUUUUCGUGGGGGAUAACGUAGGGAAACUUACGCUAAUACCGCAUACGACCUACGGGUGAAAGCAGGGGAUCUUCGGACCUUGCGCGAUUGAAUGAGCCGAUGUCGGAUUAGCUAGUUGGCGGGGUAAAGGCCCACCAAGGCGACGAUCCGUAGCUGGUCUGAGAGGAUGAUCAGCCACACUUGAACUGAGACACGGUCCAGACUCCCACGGGAGGCAGCAGUGGGGAAUAUUGAAAGAUGGGCGAAAGCCUCAUCCAGCCAUACCGCGUGGGUGAAGAAGGCCUUCGGGUUGUAAAGCCCUUUUGUUGGGAAAGAAAAGCAGCAGGUUAAUACCCCGCUGUUCUGACGGUACCCAAAGAAUAAGCACCGGCUAACUUCGU